Long non-coding RNA from Elaeis guineensis (African oil palm), 1677 nucleotides. RefSeq lists it as uncharacterized. The record is from RefSeq and is a predicted model, not a curated record. Lineage: Eukaryota; Viridiplantae; Streptophyta; Magnoliopsida; Arecales; Arecaceae.
AACUCCCGACCUCUCAAUAAUAGCAUCUAAAUCUGGCGCUCUCUUGGACGGUGAUCCAUAGUCUAUACAGCGAACAACUCGUGUACGAUGGUUUUAUACAAAAUAUUAACCUGAACUACAGACUCACACGGCAACACCUGUUCGCUAAUCUCCUCACCUGAGCAUUCUGCCCUUCCUCCUCUUUCUGAGCUCUAUACUCCGAGCAAUCGAAGUGGAAUCUAUGUUCUUUGUUCAGAUUUUUGUAAAUUUUAUUUUAAUCAACCUGUUCUAGCUUACUUGUUUCGACGCCUUUGCACAGAUUUCAUCACCGUUCUUUGCUUUUUUUUUUAAAAAAAAAUUGUCGUAUGUAUGGAUGGUUUGAUAUUCGUUUUAAAUAAGCUGUUAUUUGUCGUACUUGGAGGAGUUUUAUUAUAUGAUUAUUUUCUAUCUUAUGGGUUUAAUUUUGAUGUUUCUGUGCAAAUUUCAUGUGCAUCUGCUGCUUUUUUUUAAUCUUCUUUUCUCGUUGUAGGUUCAAUAUAUGAUUCAUUCUUUCGUGUUUUUCUUCCAAUUUUUGUUUUAAUCAAUCUGCUUUAUCUUCUGUAUUUUUUAAUACAAAUUUCAUCAUCUUUUGAGGUUUUUUAUUUUUUCUCAUUUUUCUGCUUGUGAUUGUUAAAUAUUCCUUUUAAUAUUAACUUCAUCUUUUCUCCCUUUUCUGUUUUUUAUUUUUAAUCAAUCUGUUCUAUCUUCUUGGUUUGUAUUUGAUGUUUAUUCAAAUUUCUUAACCAUUUCCCCCCUUUUUCUGAUCUUGUUAGUCAAUAAGUUUGAGUACUUUUUUUUUUUAUAAUGUUUAUGAAUUGCAAUGGCUGCAAAGGCCAAGGUGUUGAUGAAGAGAUUGAAGAGGGGUGGUUCUCAUUUAUCCAUUGUUCUUCCUUCAAAUGAAUCUUCUGAGUGCUUUGAAUUCUAGGGUUUAUAUAUUUCUGCACUUUGAUUUCAAUUAUAUGUACUAGUAUUCAUCUAUAGCACUUGGAAGGGGGUGCAGGGAGAACAAUUAUUGAGCAAGAAAAUCUUUGAAAGAUACAACCGCUGUAUUCCAUUAGUGACGUACCUCAUGGAUUCUACGAGGAUCAAAUGGAAGGUUUGUGGAAGCAACUUGGUGAAGAGACUAAGAAUCACAUGGAACUGAAAGGAGAAACAAGUGGUCCUAACUUCUGAAAUCAAGCAAGACUCCUUCCUUCAAAACAUCAUGGACAUUAUCGUAAGUGACAAGCAAGAACUUAUCAAAGCAGUUGACUAUAGACCAGGACUACACCAAUAACGACAACUAUAUCAACGGCGGCAAUUGCAAGGAAGCAUGGUGCAAAUAAAAUGGGUCCCCCACCAAGUUGAAUUGCUCAACCAUAAUUUCAACUAUUCACCAACUUGCCAGAGUUACAUCUCUGAUAAAUUGCCUCUUUGGCAGCCUUUCUUCUAUGCUUUUGAAGGUACAAAUGAUGAAAUGGUCAGAUGUCAAAUAUUGAUGGUGGUAACCACCAUAUCUCUGCACAAAUGCCCGGCUUUGGUUUUUAUGUUACAAUAGAAACAUAACCAGAGGCCAUGUAUCCAAUAAAUUAAAGAAUUUUAGGAUGCAUGAUAGAUCUUAUUUAUUUUGUUUAUGCGUUCUUAACAGAGGAAAGGUGAAACUGUUACUUUCGUGGCCCC